Molecule: ribosomal RNA, 3873 nt
Filed under: Inonotus obliquus
Lineage: Eukaryota; Fungi; Basidiomycota; Agaricomycetes; Hymenochaetales; Hymenochaetaceae
Description: large subunit ribosomal RNA
Rfam family: Bacterial large subunit ribosomal RNA (bases 1-2357)
Source: RNAcentral
GGGGUUAUUAAGGAUAAUUAGCAAAUUUAUAAAUAAGGAGGCAUAAGCCUAAUGCUACAUAUAUUAAGUGGCAGUCCUAAGGGAAACCUUUUAUUUAAUACUUCCUGAAGUAAAUCAUUUUAGUAAGGAAAGGAAAGGAAAUCAACCGAGACUCCGAGAGUAAUGGUGAGUGAAAUCGGAUUAGCCUGUUAUGUUUAAUAAGUGAAAACUUACACUUAAAAAAAUAAAAAUUUCUUUUUGUUUAACUAUAAAGAAUAAUAAGUGUACCAAAGAAGGUAAAAACCAUAGUCCUGUAACUUUUUAAAUGUAACUAAUUAAGCCUAUCUUCAAAUAGGUAAUAAUUAAACAAAGUACGAUGAGAGCAAACUUGUCGGAAUAUAGGGGAACCAUCCUCUAAGGCUAAGUAUUAUAAAUUUAGCGAUAGUGAAUAGUACUGUAAAGGAACAUGUGAAAAAGUAUAAUAUAAAAUUAUUGAAAUAGGUAUUGAAUUAGUAACUCUAUAAGCAGCCGAAAUUAAAAUAAAACAAUGACGGCGUACCUUUUGCAUAAUGGGUCAGCAAGUUAAUAGGAAUAGCAAGGUUAAAAGCCUUAGCGAAAGCGACUAAACUAAAUUAGGAUUGUAGAAUAAUUUAUUUUACAAUUUGUUUUUAAUUUAAUUUAAUUAAAAAAGAGUAACACCUUAUGUAAAAUUUUAUAAAUUUAAUUUGUAUAAAUUAUUAAUGUAAGUUGUUAUUUUCUAAUCUAUAGUGUUGGGUAAGUUAUUUCUAUUAGACCCGAAGCUAGAUGAUCUUUUCAGAGCCAGAUUAAUAAGGAUCGAACGGGUGAAUGUUGCAGAAUUCUCCGAUGAGCUCUGAAAAGCGGUGAAAUGCCAAUCUAAUCUAGUGCUAGCUGGUAUUCUUCGAAACAUAUGUAAGUAUGACAUCCAAUUAGAUUUAUGGAGGUACAGCACGGAAAUUCCGAACAAGUAAUAUUCUCUUUACUGUUUUUAAAAAUUGUAAAGUUUUAAAAUAUUAUGCGUUUAGGUUGCGGGGAUCUAGUAAAUCUUACCAAUGGAAUUUAAACUCGGAAGUACAUAAAUUGAUGUUGGAUAUUCAGACUGCUCAUGAUAAGUUGGGUAGUCAAGACGAAAACAGUCGAGAACACGCUUUAAGGUCCCAAAUGAUUAUUAAGUGAAAUUAAGGAUGUCCCAAAUUGUAAGCAGCUGUAAAGUGAGCCUGGUAGUCGCUACUUUUAAUGAUCGUUGUAACAACGCAGCAGCACUUUAGAUUGUGGCACUGAAAAUUUAACGGGUCUUAAAUAAUCAACCGAUAACGUGUUGGUUAAAAAACAUUUGUUUUUAUUUAUUUUUUAAUUUAGGUAGAAGAACAUUCAGGAACGGAAGAUACACAGUGUUUCAUUGUGAUUGACGAACUGAAGAGAGAAUGCUGACAUGAGUAACGUAAAAAGAAGUUUUAAUACUUCUCGCCGAAUACGAAAGGGUUGUAAGUAAGGUUUAAACCAACUUAUGUUAAAUGCGGGUCUCUAAGGUGCAGAACCAAAGUUCUGGCUGAUGAGGUAGUGAUAGUUUUGUCUUAAUGGAAGAUUGGACCAAGAAAAGAAAUCACUUCUUAAGAAUUUUUUUUUAUAUUAAAAAGUAAGUUACAAUUUUUAAUAAUUGGACUUAAAUUAUUCUUAGUUUAAGUUUUUAAUGUUAAUUGUUAUAUUUAGGUGAUAAAAUAAUAAUGAAACUUAAGUUAAAUGAACUACCGUACCCUAAACCGACACAGGUUCGUAGGUAGAGAAUACUAAGGCGUAGAGCUAAAAGUUGUAAAGGAACUCGGCAAGUUGUCCUCAAAAGUUAGACGAUAAGAGGAACCAAAUAAAAUAAUUUUCGGUUUUAACUUUUUCUCGCAAAGCCUAGCUUUGCUCCUGAAUAAGGGGAAUAAGUCUAUUAUCGAUUUAUUGUUCCAACUUGGUCAUUAUACUAUGUUAAUUCUUGUAGUUAAUACUAGAUUAGUGAUUAUCCCUAAUUCUAAUCUUUCUUAAAUCUAAGAAGGUUGUUGAGUGGGAAACAAUAAAGUCAGCCAUGAUAUAUUAUUUGAAAUUGGUGGCACAAAAUCGGAGGCCUCGACUGUUUACUAAAAACACAAGAAUGUGCAAUGAUUAAAAUCAUAGUAUACGUUCUGAAAUUUGCUCGAUGCCAUUAAUAUAAAAGAGGUAAUAGGUAACUGUUACUAAUUGAAAAUCUGGUUAAUAGCGGUCUUAACUAUGAGGAUCUGAUUAAAACCUAUAGGGUCCUCAAUAAACUCGAUGAUAUGCUGGAACACCCUUAAGCUUUAAGUACUAUUACUUAAAUAAAUAGUUACAAUCUUGAAGAUAACAAAAAGGGCAAUCAGCAGGGAAAAUUAAAAAGUGAAUUAUAAAUUUAUUUAUAUAAACUAGUAAAAAGUAUAAAGUAUCUCCCAAUGGAUUAAGUUUUUUAUAAAAAUGACAAAUAGAAAUAUUAAAAAUACUAUGUAUCUUUAUUUUUUAGGUGGAUUUGUUGAAGGAGAAGGUUCUAAUUCUGUUUCUAUUUCUAUUAAUAAAAAUUUUAAAUAUGGAGUAAAUAUCCAACCUGUUUUUAACGUAACUCAACAUAAAAAUGGAUUAAAUAUUUUAUAUUCCUUUAAAGAACUUUUUAAUGGUGGAUCUAUUUUUGAAAAAUCUGGAUCUCCAGAUAUUUUUGUUUAUACUUUGAAAGGAUAUAAGCAAAUUAUUAAACAUGUAAUACCUUUUUUAGAAAUUUAUGUUCAACCGUUUAGUUGUAAAAAAGAAGAAUUUUCUUUCUUUAAAGAAAUUGUUUUACAAUCUUCAGAGGGUAAACAAAAAAAUAAAGAAACUUUAAUAGAGAUGGUUAAAUUAAUUUAUAAACUUCAAGGUAAAGGCAAAAAUCGAAAAAGAGAAAUAUCUGAAAUACUUGAAAUAAUAGAAGAUAAAACAACUUACUUUAACAAAAUAACUAAUAAUAGUAAAGAAAUUCAAACAGAUUAAAUAUUAAACCCUUUCUUUUUAUCUAUUUAGAUUUAUUAAAUAUAAACUUAAUUGCCCUCAGAGACUAGAUAAUCGAGCAAAUAAUUUUAUUUGAUGAUAUAGUCCAAAUUACAAUAGAAAUAUUGUAUUUAAAUAGCCUAAGGUAGCGAAAUCAAUUGGCCAUUAAAUGUGGUCCGGUAUCAAUAAUGUAACGAAGGUCUCACUGUCUCUACAACUUGCUCAGUGAAAUUGAAUUACCAGUGCAGAUGCUGGUUACUCUCAGUGGGACGGGAAGACCCUAUGCAGCUUUACUGUAGUUAGUUAAUAUGCUGAUCUAGAACAAUUCUAAUCAAUAGUGAUUAGGUAUGUCGAUAGACGUAAACCCGCAAGGGUGGUGGAAACCUCCAGAUUGGAAUUGGGUCAGUGUUUACCUUUUUUUUUAUUUGGGAUAAUUGACUAAUUGGCAGUUUGACUGGGGCGGUCGUCUUUAAUAAAGUAGCAAAGUACAUCCACAGUUUUAAAAACAACAAUUAUUACAAUAUUAUUAUUUAAUAAUAAUAAUAGUAUUGCACACUAAAAAGAUUAAUUAGUUUAUAACUAAUCAUCUGUUUUUAAAUUUAACCUUCACAUAUAAAACAAACAAAAUUUUUAAGGUAUAGCUAGAAAUCGAAUGGAGAUCAAUCAACCAGUGUAAAGGUUGCGUAUAGUAUAAUGGCGGUAAGCAUAUCUAACUGAAAGACCUAAAAGUCGACCAGAUACGUAAGUAGGGCAUAGUGACCCCUCGCUAUAAAAUGGAAUAGACGGGGAUCAUUUGAUAAAAGCUACGCUAGGGAUAACAGGCUGAUAGCCGGCGAGAGUACACAUUGUCCCGGCUGUUUGGCACCU